AUUUUUUUAGGUUUUGAUUUUU
This 22-nucleotide microRNA is filed under the name Chrysemys picta bellii (western painted turtle). RNAcentral's name for it is "Cpi-Mir-737_5p (mature (guide))". Lineage: Eukaryota; Metazoa; Chordata; Testudines; Emydidae. RNAcentral also lists the same sequence under 5 other names. The record is from RNAcentral.